GUGCUCCCUUUGGUAGCAUAUAUACUAAAAUUGGAGCAAUACAAAGGUGAUUAUCAUGACCUCUGUGCAAGAAUGAUGUGUAAAUUCAUGAAGCACACUAUACUUUU
Molecule: small nuclear RNA, 107 nt
Filed under: Carlito syrichta (Philippine tarsier)
Lineage: Eukaryota; Metazoa; Chordata; Mammalia; Primates; Tarsiidae
Source: RNAcentral